Long non-coding RNA from Gorilla gorilla gorilla (western lowland gorilla), 600 nucleotides. RefSeq lists it as uncharacterized. The record is from RefSeq and is a predicted model, not a curated record. NCBI's taxonomy places the organism in Eukaryota, Metazoa, Chordata, Mammalia, Primates, Hominidae. The transcript is spliced from 2 exons.
UGGAGAGGUGCUGGGAGCUGGGUGGAGCUUAGAGGAAUUAAACUUUGGCCCUGUGCCUCGUCCAGCCUAGGUUCCACCCUUUUCUGGGAACCUGAGUAUCAACCAAGCAUUCAGCAGAGUAAGAAUGCAACCCUUGGGAAAGAGCAGGACACAGGAUGGCAAUUGGAAUGAUGGAAAAGUCAAAAUGCAAGAGCCAAGAAAUUAACCCCUUUAAGAAGAUGGGGGGACUGGGCGUGGUGGCUCACACGUGUGAUCCCGACACGCGCCUGUAAUCCCGGCUACUCGGGAGGCUGAGGCAGGAGGAUCGCUUGAACCCGGGAGGCGGAGGUUGCAGUGAGCCGAGAUCGCGCCAUUGCACUCCAGCCUGAGCAACAAGAGUGAAACCCCGUCCUCCCCCACCCCCCAAAAAAGAAGCUGGAGAUCUUGGAUGGAAAACUCCGGAGGACAUUGGGCAACUGGGAGGAAGCUAAAAAUGGGGUGAAAGGGAAAAAAAAAGAUGGGGGUCUUGGAUGGAAAACUCCAGAGGACAUUGGGCAACUGGGAGGAAGUUAAAAAUGGGGUGAAAGGGAUCCCAAAAUAAAUGGAUAUGACACAUGGUCA